RNAcentral lists this ribosomal RNA (207 nucleotides) under uncultured bacterium. RNAcentral's name for it is "partial 16S ribosomal RNA". It matches the Rfam family "Bacterial small subunit ribosomal RNA", at positions 568 to 774 of the family's 1533-position model. The record is from RNAcentral.
CGUGUAGGCGGAGGAGCAAGUCAGAUGUGAAAUCCCGGGGCUUAACCCCGGAACUGCAUUUGAAACUGUUCCCCUUGAGUAUCGGAGAGGCAAGCGGAAUUCCUAGUGUAGCGGUGAAAUGCGUAGAUAUUAGGAGGAACACCAGUGGCGAAGGCGGCUUGCUGGACGACAACUGACGCUGAGGCGCGAAAGCGUGAGGAGCAAACA